UUUGUUGUACCUGAAGACGGUGCGCUAACCCGCAAGGGAGGCAGCCGGCCACGGUAGGGUCAGCGACUGGGGUGAAGUCGUAACAAGGUAGCCGUAGGUGAACCUGCAGAAGGAUCA
Molecule: ribosomal RNA, 117 nt
Filed under: uncultured eukaryote
Lineage: Eukaryota
Description: partial small subunit ribosomal RNA
Rfam family: Bacterial small subunit ribosomal RNA
Source: RNAcentral